CACAACCAGCCUCCCCCCAAACCCUAGCACGACGCCGCAGCUCUGCCCAGCGCGCCACUUCCGCUGCCCGGCGUCCUCAGCCCCGCUCAACCCAAGCUUUUACAAUUCAUGUUUGUUUUAUACUGGCUGGAGGAGGUAUUGUUAAUAUUUUGCUCUAACAGUUCACUAAAUAAGUGAGGAAGAAACUAUAAUCUGCAGUGACAGUGAGGAAUAAACUACUGAUGAUGAGGAUAACAAUACAGAGUGUGUCGAGUCUGAAGACAAAGUUAUCAGAGUUAUGCUCACUUGGUCAUGUUUCUUUCAGUAUCGACAAUGUUCUUGAACUUUGAUUUAGGUUUGUGGAGUAAUUAAAAAUUCAUGGCAAAUUCACAGAUGAAUGCGGAGAAGCUAAUGAAGAUGGCAGGUGCUGUUCGUACUGGUGGGAAAGGUAGCAUGAGAAGGGGAGGUGUGUCAUCCACCAGUGGUUAUGGCUGAGAAAGUGAUAUUUUAUCUGUAUGCAAGAGGCUAUUUGAAGGCAAGAUCUUUGAAGCAUCAUCUAACUGUGGCUGCUACUGAGAAAGAUGAAAAAUAUAUAUAUAAAUUAAUAGAGCUGAGGGUGAGGCCGAGUCCAAAUGCCUAUCUGGUUUGGGUAUUGCACGCCAACGACAAGCUAUUGUGGAUGGGUUAAGAGACAUCAAAAUAGGCCACUAGUUACAGGUUUACUCCCCACCACUACAACAACAAGGUGGUCACCAGCCCAUGGAUGCAAAUUUGCACUUUUGCAGCACUUUUAAGUCGAAAAGUAGUGAGUGUAUGGACUUGAAGAAAACGGCGUAGAAAUAAUUCUUAGUCAAUAUGUACAGUGAUUUCCCUUUGCCACCUUUGUAGAUAGGCUUUGAUUAGAAGUUUAUGUCUUUAAUUAGUAUUUAAAUUGAAAACU
Molecule: long non-coding RNA, 919 nt
Filed under: Helianthus annuus (common sunflower)
Lineage: Eukaryota; Viridiplantae; Streptophyta; Magnoliopsida; Asterales; Asteraceae
Source: RNAcentral